RNAcentral lists this long non-coding RNA (253 nucleotides) under Prunus persica (peach). RNAcentral describes it as "long non-coding RNA (PPER_LNC004138)". The record is from RNAcentral. Lineage: Eukaryota; Viridiplantae; Streptophyta; Magnoliopsida; Rosales; Rosaceae.
GGAGAUUAUGUGAUGGUUCGGUCACACAUGACGUAGGUUAUUCGGCGUGUUGACAGACCCCAUAUGUGGCGUUGGAUGUUUCGGCAUAUGGGAAGAUUUUGUGAUUGUUAAGUCCCACGUGGCGUAGGUUAUCCGGUAUGAGGAUAGACCCCAUAUAUGGCGUUGGAUGUUACAGUGUGUGGGGGAGAUUAUGUGAUGGUUAGGUCACACGUGGCAUAGGUUAUCCGGUGUAUUGACAAACCUCAUACGUGGC